This 475-nucleotide ribosomal RNA is filed under the name uncultured bacterium. RNAcentral's name for it is "bacterial SSU rRNA". It matches the Rfam family "Bacterial small subunit ribosomal RNA", at positions 26 to 518 of the family's 1533-position model. The record is from RNAcentral.
AGGACGAACGCUGGCGGCGUGCCUAACACAUGCAAGUCGAGCGAUGAAGUCCUUCGGGAACGGAUUAGCGGCGGACGGGUGAGUAACACGUGGGUAACCUGCCUCAAAGAGGGGGAUAGCCUCCCGAAAGGGAGAUUAAUACCGCAUAACAUUAUUUUCUCGCAUGAGAAGAUAAUCAAAGGAGUAAUCCGCUUUGAGAUGGACCCGCGGCGCAUUAGCUAGUUGGUGAGGUAACGGCUCACCAAGGCGACGAUGCGUAGCCGACCUGAGAGGGUGAUCGGCCACAUUGGAACUGAGACACGGUCCAGACUCCUACGGGAGGCAGCAGUGGGGAAUAUUGCGCAAUGGGGGAAACCCUGACGCAGCCAACGCCGCGUGAGUGAUGAAGGUCUUCGGAUUGUAAAGCUCUGUCUUUGGGGACGAUAAUGACGGUACCCAAGGAGGAAGCCACGGCUAACUACGUGCCAGCAGCUGC